CUAACGUUGGCCCCUAAUCGGGGUUGCGGACAGUGCCUGGUGGGUAGUUUGACUGGGGCGGUCUCCUCCCAAAGAGUAACGGAGGAGCACGAAGGUGGGCUAAUCACGGUUGGACAUCGUGAGGUUAGUGCAAUGGCAUAAGCCCGCUUAACUGCGAGAAUGACGGUUCGAGCAGGUGCGAAAGCAGGUCAUAGUGAUCCGGUGGUUCUGAAUGGAAGGGCCAUCGCUCAACGGAUAAAAGGUACUCCGGGGAUAACAGGCUGAUACCGACCCAAGAGUUCAUAUCGACGGCGGUGUUUGGCACCUCGAUGUCGGCUCAUCACAUCCUGGGGCUGAAGUCGGUCCAAGGUAUGGCUGUUCGCCGAUUAAGUGUACGCGA
RNAcentral lists this ribosomal RNA (379 nucleotides) under Vibrio sp. 03_296. RNAcentral's name for it is "bacterial LSU rRNA". It matches the Rfam family "Bacterial large subunit ribosomal RNA", at positions 2222 to 2603 of the family's 2925-position model. The record is from RNAcentral. Lineage: Bacteria; Pseudomonadati; Pseudomonadota; Gammaproteobacteria; Vibrionales; Vibrionaceae.